RNAcentral lists this unclassified non-coding RNA (240 nucleotides) under soil metagenome. RNAcentral describes it as "partial contains 5.8S ribosomal RNA, internal transcribed spacer 2, and large subunit ribosomal RNA". The record is from RNAcentral.
AAGACUAUAGACCUGCGGAGUACCUGCGGAAGGAUCAUUAUCGUAUUGUAACAAUUGGGGGGGCCACCGUGGCUGUCGCUGACCCUUUGAAAGGGGGGUCGUGCACGCCCCCAUAGUGUCAUCCUCAUACAAUCCAACUCACCUCUGUGCAUCACCGCGUGGGUUCCUUUCUGGGUCGAGUCAGACUGGCUCAGAAAAAAGGGGCUUGCGUUUUCCAUACAAAUACCCUUAUAAAUCCAG